This 215-nucleotide unclassified non-coding RNA is filed under the name uncultured fungus. RNAcentral's name for it is "sequence contains ITS1, 5.8S rRNA gene". The stretch from base 167 to 215 matches the Rfam family "5.8S ribosomal RNA", at positions 1 to 49 of the family's 154-position model. The record is from RNAcentral. Lineage: Eukaryota; Fungi.
UCUCCGUUGGUGAACCAGCGGAGGGAUCAUUACUGAGUUUACGCUCUAUAACCCUUUGUGAACACAACUUGUUGCUUCGGGGGCGACCCUGCCGUUUCGACGGCGAGCGCCCCCGGAGGCCUUCAAACACUGCAUCUUUGCGUCGGAGUUUAAGUAAAUUAAACAAAACUUUCAACAACGGAUCUCUUGGUUCUGGCAUCGAUGAAGAACGCAGC